GUCGCUGAGUUCUUGUCCGGAGAAGAUGGCCGUGUGAGCUGCUUUACCUUCUUCUUCAGGUGCCUUACACAGUCCACCAAAGCAUGAAUGGUCUUGUCUUGCCACUUACACCACUUUUGGAGAGUGUUCACUCGCAAAUACAGCUUCUUGGUGUGGUAUUCAGGCUCACCCCACACGUAUGGAUCAAAAUGAUAUCGGCCUG
This 202-nucleotide long non-coding RNA is filed under the name Eutrema salsugineum. RNAcentral describes it as "long non-coding RNA (ESAL_LNC000387)". Lineage: Eukaryota; Viridiplantae; Streptophyta; Magnoliopsida; Brassicales; Brassicaceae. The record is from RNAcentral.